RNAcentral lists this ribosomal RNA (324 nucleotides) under uncultured bacterium. Its description in RNAcentral is "bacterial SSU rRNA". It matches the Rfam family "Bacterial small subunit ribosomal RNA", at positions 28 to 334 of the family's 1533-position model. The record is from RNAcentral.
GACGAACGCUGGCGGCGUGCUUAACACAUGCAAGUCGAACGGAGCACCCCUGAAGGAGUUUUCGGACAACGGAUGGGAAUGCUUAGUGGCGGACUGGUGAGUAACGCGUGAGGAACCUGCCUUCCAGAGGGGGACAACAGUUGGAAACGACUGCUAAUACCGCAUGACGCAUCGAAGUCGCAUGGCUUUGAUGCCAAAGAUUUAUCGCUGGAAGAUGGCCUCGCGUCUGAGUAGCUAGUUGGUGAGGUAACGGCCCACCAAGGCGACGAUCAGUAGCCGGACUGAGAGGUUGGCCGGCCACAUUGGGACUGAGAUACGGCCCAG